Molecule: long non-coding RNA, 22812 nt
Filed under: Phaseolus vulgaris (common bean)
Lineage: Eukaryota; Viridiplantae; Streptophyta; Magnoliopsida; Fabales; Fabaceae
Description: long non-coding RNA (PVUL_LNC004086)
Source: RNAcentral
UUUUUUUUUUUGUAUCUAAAAGCUUCUAGCUUUUCAGGCUGGAGAUUCACGGUUUGAGGGCCGUGAGCGCGUGCGAUAUACCAGGGAACAACUUUUACAACUCAGUGAGGUAAUUUAUAUGUUAUUGCUGCUCUAAUGCAAUGGUUAAUUAUACUUUUUCUCAGGAUAUUUGUUUAUUCCAUCUUCCAUGUGAUUAUUUUCCUUUUAAUUUGGAAAUUGUGGCUAAUUAACGUUCUGCGACGUCUACUGAUCUAUUGGAUUCAUCUUUAGUAGCCUUGUGUAUUGAUUGUCUUGUGUCUAGUGUUAUGUUAUAAAUUUACUUGUAUUUAAACUUAAAGAGAUGCUGCCCUGUUUUCUACAGAACUCUAUUGUUCCUUGAAAGACAACCUACAUUGUUCCCUAUGUCUCUGGAUAAGUUUUAACAUAUGAUCUUUUGUUUUUUUUAUAUCUUGUCUCUUCUCUCCAGACAGUCUCUUUUGAAACCUAGUGCUCCAGUUUGUAUGAUUAAUGAUUCAUCAUUGGUCUAAUUGUUGAACCUUUUUAUAUUCAGGGAGUUGAGAUUCUUGAUGAUGUUUUGAAGAUCAAACAAGAUAUUGAAGCUGAACUUUUUGGUGAAGAUCAAAGUUGGGCCCGCCCAGAAAGCAAUGUAUGUGUGUUUUCUGUCUAUUAUUUAUGUUGUUAACUAAGAAGACCCUUUUCCUCUUCCAUUCUGUUGGUAAAUUGAUUGAUAAACUUGUUUAAAAAUAUCUUAUUUUUGGGAGUGAUUAUAAUUGUAUCUUACAGAGACUCAUCAGUGAUCAGUGAAUGGUAAAAUUAAAUGUCUAAUUCUGUAUGUGAUGCUGCUAUUUUUAUUAUUUUUUAUUAGCUCAAUUAAGUGUUUCAUUUUAAUGAAUUUAAUUUGUGACAUUAUCAAAAUUAUAAGUUCAACUAUUCAAAUUGUGUAAUGAAGUAUAUAUUAUCUUCUGCAGCCCUCAAAUCAAUUUCAAAAUCGAUAUUCUGAGCCAGAUAAUCGUGACUGGCGUGGACGAUCUGCUGGCCAACCUUUUGGUAAUGCAGAUGAGAGGUCUUGGGAUAAUCUCAAGGAGAAUAAGGAGUUUGGAAAUAAUCGUCAAGACCAAAUGAAUUCUCAGUUUGCAAGGGCACAGAUAUCUUCUAACCAAGGGGUACUGAUAAUUGGCAGAGAUGCAUGAUAUAUAUCUUGUACCAUUAAUGUUUUGUAUUUAAGUUUGAUCAAGUGUUGUUUAAAACACCUUACAUUAUCAUUGAACAAGAAAGUGAAAAGUAAAAGCUUUUUGAGCCUUUAGUAUGGCGGCAUUGAAUGGUUCUCUCUAUAUACAAUGUGGAUUGAAUUGUUUUAUCUUAUUUUUAAUUCUUCUAUCUCUAUUAAAUCAGGGCGGACCUACUCCAACACUAGUCAAGGCUGAGGUGCCGUGGUCAGCUAGAAAGGGAACUCUCUCUGAAAAGGAUCGUGUCUUAAAGACAGUUAAAGGGUAAUGUAUUUCUACUUUUUAGUACUGGUUAAUAGGUAAAUAGGGAUUUUUGAAUUAUGAGAAAUGCUAGCAAAUAUGUCAACUCACCCUUUAUUAUUUGGUGAAUUUCACAUGGGUCCCACUUAGAGGUCUCAUGAAUUUCUCUCAAUAGUAAAGAGUGUAUUAAAAAUAGUAUGUUGACUAGUCAAGACAACAAAAUACAAUUAUAUGUGAAAAACUGACUUGGAUCCCCUUAAUUGAUAAGUAAAUUAUGAGAUAAGGUAAGGGUUCCUUUGAUUUGAGUUGAAGAACUCGUUUAACUUACCUCCCUUAAAUCAAGAGUGGAUGCAUUCUCUCUUUCUCACUUUACAUAUUUACUCACAUCACAUAAGUUGAAUAUUUGAAGUCAAUAUUGUGAGUUUUGACUAGAUUAAUUUAUUUAUAUUUUUUCUAUGUAUCUAAUGAAAGUUAGUUUUUUUAACAUUUUGUAUUUUCUUCUUCACCCAUGUAACUGGUAAGAUUCCUCAGAAUUACAUGUCUUCUGAUACUGAUAUUCAGUGUUGUGAACCAUUUCCAUGCAGAAUACUAAAUAAGUUGACUCCUGAGAAAUUUGAUCUCUUGAAGGGUCAGUUGAUUGAUUCUGGCAUUACAUCUGCCGACAUAUUGAAGGUUCAUUUUAUUUUCUGUUUGAAGUAUUUUUCUAUCACAUCCUUGUUUUUAAUUGAUUUUGUUGGAAAUGCAGGGAGUUAUAUCACUGAUAUUUGAUAAGGCAGUGCUAGAACCAACAUUUUGCCCAAUGUAUGCCCAGCUGUGUUCUGAUCUUAAUGAAAAGCUGCCUCCAUUCCCAUCUGAUGAGCCUGGUGGGAAGGAAAUCACUUUUAAGAGAGUACUCUUGAAUAUCUGCCAGGAGGCUUUUGAAGGUGCAGAUAACCUGAGGGAAGAAGUGAGACAGAUGAUUGCUCCUGAGCAGGAGAUGGAGCGAAGGGAUAAGGACAGACUUGUCAAGAUUCGAACCCUUGGAAACAUUCGUUUAAUUGGUGAGCUGUUGAAGCAAAAAAUGGUUCCCGAAAAGAUUGUUCAUCACAUUGUUCAGGUUCUAUCUGGACUUGUUGAGACUUGAUUGUUAUAUAAUAUAUUGUUGUUUUGGGAGUUUGCACUUACCUUUGUGGUUGACUGAUACUUGAUACAGGAGCUUUUAGGUCCUGCUGACAGCAAGAUCUGUCCAGCAGAGGAAAAUGUUGAAGCCAUUUGUCAAUUUUUCAACACUAUUGGUAAGCAGCUUGAUGAAAGCCCGAAAUCACGGCGUAUAAAUGAUAUGUACUUCAGUCGUUUGAAAGAAUUGAGCACCAAUCCCCAACUUGUUCCACGGCUGCGGUUUAUGGUUCGUGAUGUUCUAGAGUUGCGUUCUAAUAACUGGAUUCCUAGACGUGAAGAGGUAAAUUAACUCUAAUGAAAAUAUGCUACAGCUCAAAUGUUGGAAGACAUUCACUGCUUUUUUUUAUCUAAUAAUUACUAUUUGUUUACUAAUAUAGGUGAAAGCCAAAACCAUCACUGAAAUUCAUUCAGAGGCAGAAAAAAAUCUUGGAUUGCGUCCAGGUGCCACUGCAAGCAUGAGAAGUAGCCGUGUAGUUUCUGGUGUUCAAGGAAACGUCAAUUCAGGAGGAUUUGCAAUUGCCCGACCUGGUACCGGCGGUAUGAUGCCUGGGAUGCCGGGGACGAGGAGGAUGCCUGGGAUGCCGGGAAUUGAUAAUGACAACUGGGAGGUGCCUAGGACAAGAUCAAUGCCGAGAGGAGACAUGUCAGGCAUGCAAACUGGAGGACGUGGUCAGUCUCCUUUCAUUUCUAAGACAUCAACUGUUAAUUCAAAGUUACUACCUCAAGGUAGUGGUGGUACUAUAAGUGGGAGAAGCAGUGCCCUGGUACAUGGGGGUGGUGGUGCUCCUUCUGCUCGUCCACAAAACAUUGGUGUUAGUGCCGAGCCCCCACCUCAAAUUCCUUCACCUGUACCUGUUAAAGUUGUUUCUGCCAUACCCUCUGAGAAGCCACAAGCUCCAGCUCCAAAAUUGAAUGUUGAGGAACUUCAGCGCAAAACUAGUUCUCUUCUGGAGGAAUAUUUCAGUGUUCGGCUUUUGGAUGAGGCAUUGCAGUGUGUGGAGGAACUAAAAGCUCCAACUUAUCACCCUGAGGUUGUGAAGGAAGCCAUUUCCCUUGGACUAGAUAAAAGUCCGCCAUGUGUUGAACCUGUUGGCAGUCUUAUUGAGUAUCUGUAUGUUAAAAAGAUUCUUUCAGCCAGAGACAUAGUGACUGGGUGCAUGUUAUUUUCUUCUCUGCUGGAUGAUAUCGGCAUAGAUUUACCUAAAGCACCAAAUAAUUUUGGUGAGAUAAUAGGGAAACUAGUUUUGGCUGGGACUUUGGAUUUUAAGAUGGUAAGAGAAAUCCUGAAGAAGGUGGAGGAUGACCGGUUCCAGAAAACAAUAUUUUCCUCUGCAUUGCAGGUAAUUAGCUCUGCAUCUGGGCAAGCUGUGUUGGAAUCGCAAGCAUCUGAUAUUGAGGCCUGUCAGAGUCUGUUCAACUGAAUCAGAUAAGUCUGCAUGAGAAUAUUGAUCUCUGUAACUGAACGAACAUCAACUUCCCUUUACGCCCUCACUUUUUAGAAGCACUUUGUAUUACAGUAUGUUAUAAAAGUGGGAGCUUCCAGUUAUCAGGUAUUUUCUCGAGUUGUAUAAUUUUUUUUUUGUUUUCAUGUCGUAGAGGUGUUUUUUGAGGGAAAAGUUAAACCAUAAAGCUACGGAUUUUGUUUUCCAGUUGGCUAAUCAUGUGCCAAGAGAGUGGCCCAUCCUUCCGGGGGUCCAAAUGUUUUUGUACUUCAUUAGUUUCAUUUUUUCCCUUUAUUUUCUUGACAGAGAGUAAUUGUUAAACUGGUCAGUUCAUAAAUAUCAUUGUCGUUACUGUGGCAUGUAUUUAUUGAAGGUUUGAAUUCAUCUUUGUGUGGGUGCAUGUCCAGGUAUCUCACUUCUUUCAUUCCUCUACACUCUAAAUUGGAGGAACGUAACGUUUGAUGUCCCAACAGUAUCAGAGGGGACUAUUAAAUUUAAUUUCGAAAUGCCAAAUCCCAUGUUUUGAACUAUCUCAUCUUAAAAUGGUUUUUUAUUAAAAUUAAAUUUCAAGCCAAGUGAUUAAUAUUUAAUUUUUGUUUGUUUGAAAAAUGCGUUUAUAACAUUUAAGGUAUAAUUUGUAGUAUCUUCAGAUGUUUGAAAUUUAAUCGGAAAGAGAAUUAAAGAUAAUGAUUUAUAACUUGGGUAUUUUUGUCUGUCAACUUAGAGAUCUAACUAGGAUUAACUUAACAUUUUUACUGCAAGAUCAAGAUUUUGGUUAUUUUAUUACUUAGCACAUAUUUGAGACUUGUAUGGUUUUUGUGAUGGAUGCAGAGUUUUACUGACUUUUCCUGACAUUUACUAUGUGAACAUUAAACAGGUUUAGUUAUCUCAAAUCAAUUAUAUUCAGUACUAAAUUAUUUUUGAAAAUGUUUAAAACUUGAAACACUAUUAAAGUAUUAUCCUUUCGAAUCUAAAAUGGCAUCACGGGAUUCCCUUCAAAUGUUGUGCUUUUGAAAAACAAUCUUGAAGACAUGAAAUUGUUCAUAAAGUGACCCAAUUCAAUGCAUCUAUUAAAUCGAUCUGAAAAUAGUUAAAACUUGAAUAAGCCAAUAGUCCACAUAAGAUAUUUUUAUCGGGUUAACUUCGAUUUUGGAUGUAAUUUUUAUAACUGAUUCAAAAAUUCAAAUCACAUUCAUAUAUGUUAUUUUUAUUUACCAUAUUAUCCAUAUUUAUUAAUCUAGAAAAUUAUAAAAUUAUUAUACUUUUUAUAUGUUAAUAUCUAAAUUUUAUCUUAAUAUUAUAAUUUUUAUGCAUUUAUUGGUUUAAUUUGUUUUUUUUAUCUCUUAUUAUUUAUUUUUAUUAUACAAUUUUUAUUUUAAUAUUAAAGAAUUAAUUUUAAUAAAAAAUAUAUUAGACAAACAAUAUAAAAAAUAACGAGUCUAAGUCUAAAUUUCUUAAUACAUUUUUAACUAAUAAUUUUCAUUUUUAGCGAGCAUGAAUUUAAGUAAUAAUUUACAUUUUUAAUCGUAAUGUAUAGAGAAAAGUAAAAGAUUUAGUCCUUUACUCAAAAUUUGUACAAAACCAUGAAUUAAAUAUUUUAUCUAAUAUAUAUUACCCAUAAAAAAUGCAACAUAUAUAUAUAAUCCUUCAGUAAUAAAAAAAUCGAAUAUAAUCAGAUUAUAAAUCAAUCCGCAGUUUAUCUUUAUAAAUAAUAAAUUAGCUUAAAUAUGUUUUUCUCCUUAAUUUGGCACAAUUAUUAUAAUGUAGUUGGUCAUUCCAAUUUUCCAUUCAUUAAAAAGUAAAAUAAUACGAAUUUACGAAAAAAGUAGUUAGAAAAAUAAUGUCUUCUAUAAAUGGUAUAAAUAACAAUUUAUUCAGAAAAAUUAAAGUUAAUGUUAUGAAUUAAGUGAUAACUUUAUGAAAUAAAAAGCUUAAAUGACCAUUUAAGUAAAUAUAUAAUAGGUCUUUGAUUUUUUUUUAUUAGAGUGCAGAUAUAUAAACUUUUUUAAUAUCGAUUUAUUUAUUUUAAUAUAAAAGUCCAACCGCUUUGGCGCCUUUUUUGAUUUGGGUUGGUGUUCAUCUGAAGUGAAAUAAAUGGCAGAGAAGGAAGAUGCAAGAGGGAGCGAUGAAUCGCUGAAGCUAGCGGUGGCGAUUUCGCUUCUCAGAUCAAAGAUUCUGAAAAAUGCAAACGAGUCCAGUGCGCUAUCUCCUUCGCAAUCUGAUGCUCUUCUCCGUUGGAAGCGAAAGGUAAAACACUUCUUUCGUUUUCAUCCCAAUCUAACGCCUUCGAAUAUUCACUUUUAUUUCAUCUUCGGAUUCUCAGGCCAAGGAAAGAAAGCAAGAGGUCCUGAGGCUCAGAGAAGAUCUUAAGGACGCUAAAGGUUGGUUCUCAUUUCUCUCGCAUAUAAACUCACGUUCACGCGAAAUGGAUUAAUUCUGAGUUUCUGGAUGUAGAUGUUUCGCACUGCGAUCUAUUCCCGGAGAGUGCUGCUUGCAAGUGCUAUUUCUUCGACAAAAUCGGAGAAGUAAACCCUACGGUUCACGGAACUGGUUGUGACACUAGAUUCAGCGAUGUCCUUCGACGCAGAUUUCUAAGACAAGGUAUAAUCAUCGUCGUCAUUAUUAUCUACUUUAUUACAUAACUACGUUUUUUGCAUUGACGUUGAAAAUUGGCUUCUGCAGUGCGAUUUAAGGAAAGGAGGAGAAAAAUAGGUUCUUCUUCUCCUUCUUCUUCAAGUCAGCAGCGGCUUUCUUUAGGUACAUAUUAACAGCGUUUAUAGUUGUAAACAAGUGAGCGUUAGACUCUGUGGUGAAUCACGCGGAUUAUUUGUGUGUUUCAUAAUUUGUAAUUAAAACGGUGUUUUCACAAAUAGUUCAAGAUGACGUGUCUAAUAUCUGGGAAUUUUGAUGUUAAGUGCAAAGAAUUGUACUAAAUUUGUUUUCUAAUUUGAAACUUUACCCUCAGGUUUAAUCAAGGAGGAUGAAGCAGAACAGCUUAGGGCCUCUGUUGAUUUUCUCGUGGACUUGUGCAGCUCUCAAUCACCUGUUAGGAUGCUUCACUGUUUUAGUAUUUUUUUUUCCUAAAAUGAUCUAUUCAACAUUUGAAUAAUGCAGUAUAUAGUUUGUUGGUUUUUGGUUAUCUUUAAGGGGUUAGCAUUUUUUCUAUUAGCUUGUUUUGCAGCUAUUAUGUAUAGUUAUCUUUGUUUUUUUUUCUAUAUAUUGUUGCUCAAUGAAUUCAUGAGCAAUUCACCAUCUAAGUCUUUUCUUCCUUCUCUAUCAGGUGUUUUUCAGCAGAGUUCAUAGAUACUAGUGAUAUUGAAUAGAACAUAGUUACAUAACCAUUAAUUUUUUUAACAUGCUUUAUUGAUGUAUUUUUUUGGUCAUGUGGUGUAUUCAAUUUAUUUUGCAGGUGGAUGAUUCCAAGUUUUCAAAUCUAGCACAUCAAGCUGUGGAUUUUAUAUUAGGUACUCUUCUCGUUUCACUAAUGGAAAAGCUUUUCCUACCUUUAUUUAUCUAAUUAUGUAAUUGAAAAUACUAUGUCUAUUUAUUUGAGGACCCAGUGCAUCAAGCUGUAGAGUUUAUAUGCGGUAUGCUGCUUUUGUGACUAUUGACUUUUCCACUUCUUUUGGUUUCAAUUCAAUAAAUGAAUAUUGUGAACCCAAAACUUUGGGCGUUCGCUAUCAUUCUAAUUAACUGCACUUCAUAGUAAUUUAUGUUGUAAACAUGCAAGACCAUGAUCAGUCUCCCACUCAAUGAUGAACUGUAAAGUAACUUAGUUCUGGCCCCUAUUUCCAGUCCCGUUCUCACAUGAAGUUGUAAUUUGAGUUAUGAGCGAUUAACAUCAAAAUUUAGUUUUUGAGCUAUACUAAGUUUAACUUUGAUUUGUAGGGUUUCGUUAUGGAUCACCAUUAUACAUGUAGCCCACGAUCACAUUUAUUUGUUAUGUGCUCUGAAGAUUAUAUUUGUAUGUCUGUUUUGAAGUUGCGUUGAAGAAUCUUUUAUCUAUGGGAAGGAACCAUGAAUUUGUUGAAGGAGUUGUCAACAGCCUAGUUACACGUUUGAGUAGGCAGAUGUGCACGUCCUUGUCAGAAAAUGGUAUGCAUAGUUUGAGAUCAUGUCAAUAAUCGUAGAUUACUUUUUAAGUUCAAUGUGUAAGACGGUAAACUUGUAUAAAAUUGUUGCCAUUGUGACCUUUAUGCUAUAGCUUCACGCCCUCGCCAUUUUAUGACCGUUUAUUUCUUGAUCAUUCUAACAUUGACUUACUGUCUCUUUUUUUGCCGUUUAUCUUCUAGGGUCUCAACACACGGGCACCAAUGCUCAAUUUUGUGUUCAGCAUUUGAUCCGCAAACUUGGAAGCGAGCCUUAUAUUGGCCAGCGGGCAAUACUUUCAGUGUGUCAAAGACUUUCGGUUCUAGCAGAACGUUUGCUUUUCUCUGAUCCUUUUGAUGAUGGCUUUCCUGAAAUGCAUGAAUGUAUGUUCAUAAUGUAAGUUCUUUGCAAAAGAGCAAUAGUAUAAUAUCCAGAUUCAUAAAUCAUAUCGAAUGGCUAAAUACAGGUUUCGUGGAAAGGAAUGAUGUUUUUGAAGACAUAACAAUUUAUCUAUUUUUUAUGUGAUUGUCAGGAUCCAGCUUAUCGAGUUUUUGGUUGCCGACUACUUAUUAGAGUGGUCAAAAGCUGAAGAUUUUGACAACAGUAUGCUUCAUGCUUUAUACUGAACUUAACUAAUUAGUUGACAUAGAAUCUUGAUUUCUCUGACCCAAAACAAAUACAAGUGAGCCAACAUUUAGCAUUUUUCUCAACUAUUACGUUUUUACUGUAUAUUAUUGCUAACUGACUGUAAUCAAGAUGAACCAAGUUUAAAAAUUUAAACUGAGCGGUAACUUAUGGUAACAAUGACUUUUCAGUGCUUCUUGAAGAUUGGGUGACAUCAAUUGUGCAGGCAAGAAAAGCAUUAGAACUUCUAGAAAGCCGAAACGGACUAUAUGCGCUCUAUAUGGACCGAGUCGCAGGUGAAUUGGCAAAACAACUUGGUGGUGUCUCAUCGUUUCUGAAGCUUAAACCGGAUAUAAUUAAUUGCCUCCUUCGUUAAACAUGAUUGAGAGUAUUGGAAAAAAAUAUUAUGGAUGGGAAUGAAAAAGCGAAUACGAUGCUGUUAAUUGAAAUUGUGGCGAGAAUCUGCUCACGGGCGCUGCCGAAAGGGUCCUGCUCGUGUACAUGGUGAGGAGUAUUAGCUCUUCUCGGCUUUUUUAUCAGGUAACUGUCAAUGCAUCAGUGUCAUGUUUGGAUUAUAAUCUGUACUCUGUUCCUCUAAAUUAUCAGACAAUGGUUGGUUUUGUUUGGAUUGACCAACGAGAAAAAUACUAUCGAUAAGAUAAUCGAGUUAAAAAGGUAAUACAUAAAACCAAGAAAAUUAUAAAAUUUAAAUCCCUUCACCUGAAUAACAUACUUCAACAUGAUUUUCUAGUACCAAUUUAUGGAUUGAGUAAAAAAAGUUACUUUUUUUAAUUACACUAAAUUAAAAUUUUAGCAUAUAUUUAAUCUUACUUUUUGAGUUGAAUUUUUUUAAGGAUCGAGUAUUCAAACAUUAACUUGUCCUACAAUGGAGAGAAAGAAUUUGCCCAUCUCAAUUUUCCUUAUUAAUUACUGAUUUAACAUGUGCAUGCCUCUGACUCAAUUUUUUGUUUUAUUUUUAUUUAAAUAUUUAUAUAUUUCAUUGAUUAAUUUGUAUAAACUAAUUUCACAGGCAAUAUGUCUACUGUGUUUAAGAAUUAAACAAGAUUUGGAAUAAGAGAUUUAAUUUUAAUAAUAUGCUAAUAAUCAAAAUUAAAAUUAUCAUCAAAUUUACAAACUAGUAUUGGAAUUUAAUUUUCCUGACAUAAAGGUUUUUACAUUAAUACUUAUUAAAAAUUUCGGAUAUAUUUUUUAAAAUAAUUGAAAGUUAACAAAUUUACUUUAGCAACACAAUUUGAUGUUAGUGUGACUCACUAAAUUCAAGAAAAUCCGAAUCAGUGUUAGUUUGUAAGCUAAUAUUUUGUGUGAAUCAUAGCAGGGUAGAAAAUAAAGCAAAAGAAAAAUUGAAAAAAAGAAAGUGAAAAAAAAAUAAUAAGAGAAAAAAUUGUCAUUAAUUUAAUUGACGUAAUUAGAAUAUUUUUUAGUAUAUAUUUAAAAAGUAAUUUGAUAUAAAAGACACUUCAAAAAAUAUAAAUUAGAGUUAAAAUUAUUUUUAAAUUAAAAUAAAAUACUAUAAAAUUUAAUAAAUAAAAAGUUAUAUUUCAAAAUAAAAAUAUAUUAACACAAAUUAAUUUGCAAUAUUAAAAAUUUAAUUAUUUUAUUUACUAUUUAUUUAUUUUUUAUUUUAAUUAUUUAUCUUAUUAUAAUAUAUAUAUAUAUAUGUGUGUGUAUAUAUAUAUCAAUAAUAUAAUUGUUAAAAGGAUUACUGAUAUUUAUAAUUAAAACGUAAACAAUAAUAAAAUAUUUAUUAACAUAAUUGAUUUUAACAUAAAUAUUUUAUUAUUAUUUACCUAAAAGCUGAUAAUAUAUACUUUUAUUGCAAAAUUUUCUCAUUUACGAAGAGUUCAUCAUCCAAAAUUCCCUUCAUUUUCCGUAUUUUCAAUUUUGUAUUUUGCAUUUUUCCGUUGUUCUACGUAUGUGUGAACAGUUAAUAGUAAAAAAUACAAACCCACACGGUAUACUAACUCAUGAUGUUCACGACAGACUUUAUUACCUAUCAUAACCAUCAAUAGGUUUUCAUAAAAAAAUACUUCAUGACUAUAGAUAUUUCAUGACUAUAGAGAUUAUGAUAUUUUAUUAUAACGUGGAAAUCUCAUUUCAUAAAUAAAUUUUAUAAAAUUAAAUUAAGUUCACUUCUUAUAAUAUAUCUUGCUAUUCUUUCUACCGUGCUACAUUUUGUUUUGCAAAAUUAGCAUUGUCUCUUUUGCAACAACGAGAUUAAUUGUUCACUUGGGUAAAGAACAAAAAAAAGUUCUCACCCUCUUUCUCAUUCUCUCCUUCAUUUUCAAAAUGAUUGAAACAAACCUGCCAGUAAAAAGUAUUUAUAUAGACUCGAAAUUGGCUCAAUAGUUAAAUUUUAAAAGUAGUUUUCUGAAAUGUUUUUUUAAAUGAUUAAAUCGUACACAAUUUAUUCAAACAAAAUUCGUCAAAUCCAUUUAUGAUUUAAAAAGAAAAUCAUAUAUUUAAGUUACUGGAUUUAAGAAAAUCCAUUCGCUUAUGAAAUAUACGUUCUUAAUUUUAAAAAAUAAUAAUGUGUAAAAAAUAAAACAAAAAAUUAAAAAAAUAGAAAAUAAUGUAUUUAAGUUUACUGGAUUUAAUAAUUAAAGAAAAGUAAGUUUUAUAAAACAUUUUUUUUAACUAAAUAAGUAUUUAUAAAAUAUAUUUAUAUUAUAUAAUUAAAGAAUGACUGAAUUUUUAAAACAUAAUUUUUUAUUAUAUUUAAAUUAAAAAUAAAUAUAAAUUUUUAAUUUUAAUACAUUAAAAUUAUUUUAAAUUAUUAAUCAAAGUAAUAAUGUAAUAAUUUAAUAAUAUAAGUAAAUUAAUUUUAAAAAAUAAUUAAAGUAAAUUUAAUCUAUAAUAUUAAGUUGGUAAAACUCUAAAUUUAAAAUAUUAAAAAUAAAUUAAAAAAUUUAACCGGAGAAAUAACUCUUUUUGUUGUCUUCGAAAAACUAAAACCUAUUUUUCUUUAAUUAUAUAUAAAAAAAUUAAAGUUGUUAUUUUUUUUAUUUUAUUUUACAUAUUAUUAUUUUAAAAUUGAAAACAUAUAUUUCAUAUAUAGUUCUACAUUAAAAUUGUAUAUGAAAUAUAAGAUUUUUUAAAAUAUAUUUGGUGAUUUUUAUUUGAAAAAAUUAUAUAUUCAAUUUACCUAUUUUUGGGAAAAAAAAGAUUUUUCCUAUUUCAAGAAAUUGCUUUUAAAAUUGCACUUGGAACAAAAAGAACCUAGAAAUUGAUUAUAAAUAAGGAACUUGGUUAUUAGUAGCCACAUACAACUUCACUUUAUGGUAUCAUGUUAGACAUGAACAAAACACUAGUUGUGUACUUCUUUUUGUUCGCCUAUUUGGCUUACGGAAACACACGCACGGAAGAUACUGCAUAUCAUGACACGGACUCUAGUCGUAAUCAACUUUGAUAUUUUUCAGUUUUUUAUUUUCUUCUUUCUUUUUUAUCUUAUUUCCUUUGAAAUUGUAUAUUUGAAUGAUAAUCCAUUUGUCUCUUACGUGCAUGCAGCAAUGCAGAAGAUGAGAAAUGAAUCAAGCAAACCUUGCAUUGAAAGAGAAUUUGAAGAAUUGCAUGAUGCCCAACAAACAAUGGUUUUUCGUGAAGCAAAGGGAACAUCGAGCAGACCAAUCAAGCUAAAGCCAGCACUCGCCUACUUUUCAAACUCCAAUUCAUUCAAACCUUCAUCUCUAUUCAUUCCACCACUCGCCUACUUUUCGGCUUGCUUUUAGUUCCUUAGACCAUUUUCUAACUCUUUCUUUAUGUAUUUAUAAAUUUAUGCGGAUCUCAUACUUUUUAAAAUAUUAAAUUAUUUUAUUGAUUUCUUUUAUUUUGUAAUAUUAGUAAAUUUUUUGGAUUAUAGUUGAAAGCAUUCUCCAUUUAUGGUUUCAUUUCGAACGUUAACUUAAACGAAUAUGGGAAUAGAAAGCGACAACGCUUUUUCACCGUUGAUAAGAGUGUCACGUGUGCGCCUACGAUUGAGUAUGGUGAAAUGUCACCUAAAAAACGCUUCGUGUGCUGUGCCACACCUGCCCAUUGUGAGAUGACAUGUAAGCCACCAUAGCACACAAAUAGUCUCUUUGUUUAAGCAAGCUCAGCUCGAGUCUGGAGGCUUGUGUAUUGGACCAGGGCGCUCGGGGCUCAGUAUUCGGUGACCGGAUCUCGGUGCGUGGCACAAGUAGGACAGCUCCGUUGUUGGGCCAGUGUAAUGAGCCAUGUGCUUGGGUCCAGUUUGGACAGUAAAUCUAUUUUGGUAUAACUAAGGUAACCUCUUGUACGUAAAUGCAAGACAAUUAAUAAAGGAUAUUUGUGGACCUAGGGAUGCGCUUAGUGCGUAUGGGGUCUAGGUCAAGUAAAUGUUUUCUUUUAGACCUAAGCUCGUGUGUUUUAGGACACGUAGUGGUUAGGUUGCAUGUAUAAUGAAAGAUAACGUAGCACCAUGAGUAGGGUGUCCACGUAAGUACCCCUGAUGUUGGCGCAUGAGUUGGUGCCCUGGUGGUUGUUCUGUUAUUAUUUUAUGCACUCCUUGGAGAUAAGAUUCUUUUCAAUUGUAGCACCUCGAGAGAAGGCACCCCUGAACAAAAUGUGUUUCUCCUAUUAAGUAUGCUUUCAGUUGAGAUUAGAUUCUCGUGAUAGAAAAUGGUUACAAGAGGUAAGCUAUAAAAGGGGCUUGAGACCCCAGGUACGACUGAAACUGAAUACUUCUUUAUUUUUAGUCCUUUACUAACUUGAUCGUCGGAGUGCAAUCAACAGAUAAGAACCCUCUGUUUCAACGGAGCCGUGUUCCAGGGGCAGAUCGAGGCUAGAGUUGGAAGCCAAGGUCAUUCGACGAAGAAGUCAACCGACAAGAACACAAACUAUACAAAUCUUAUCUUAAUUAAUAUUCAUCUCAAACUCAAACAUUUAAAAUAUAUCUAGACAAUAUAAAACCAUCUAUAAAACUUAAGAUAUAAAACCAUGUCACCUUCACAUAGAGAUCAUCUAUCCUAAGGUUCUAUAAAAAAAUAUAAAUAGUUUUCUUUACGUGUAAUUCUUUACUUCUAAAGAAAGUUCUAGCCUUAACAGGAUAAUUAUUCAAUACCUAGAGACCUAGAACAAAUUAUUUAGAUAUAGUCAAAGUUCAAUACGAGCUUAACCAAGUUGAGAUAAUCAUCUUUUUCAAUUAAUCCUAACAAGAUUGAUGACAAAUUCACGAGGAAAGAAAGAAAUAGAAUAAAAAAAUCUUUAAAGUAAAGAAAAACUUAAUUUAAUCAAUUGAAAAUUAUUCUUAACUCAUAAGCUACUACGAAGUGUGAUCAGAUUCCUAAAGAAUUGAGUUUUGGAGGAAAGAAAUUUGAGAGACUAGAGAGAAAUUCUUUUUGGAAAGAAAAAAAAUGAGAAAUGAAUAGGAUGGAGAAAGGAUCUUACAAAUCCACCAUUAAUAUUUUUACUUAAUUUUAUUUUUAACUCUAAUUGAAUUUUCUUAAUUUUCAAUGUAUCACAUUUUAUGUUUAAAAACAUGUAGAUUUCAUUUAAAAUAUAAUCGAAAAAAUUUCCUAAACAAAGCAUUUACUCAAUAAAAUUUUAUUGAUUUGAACCUAAAUCUUUAUUAUCUAAAUUCGAAGCAGACAUAAUUUUAUAUCAAUAUUUACUUUAUUGUGUGCUAUUUAAGGCAGUUAAAAAUAUUUUAUCUUAUAUCACAAUACUUUUUUCAAUAUUUUACAAAAUAAAGUAAAAAAUAUUCCUCGACAUCGUUCUAGAAUACUAGUUAUUAUACAAACAAGUAGUCCUGCUCUUAGCUUUAAUACAAUGUUGAUAUGUUUGGAUAAACGUUUCUAUAAAAGUUUAUGGAAAACAAUAAAAAAUUAUCUUUGAAGUCUGGAAAAAACUACAAAAAAAAAUAAAUUGAAUUCAUCUUAUUAGUUAAUUUGUAAAACCAAAUCGCGAUUUUGUACUACGGAUCAUCUUCUACAUAAUUUUCUUGGAUCAUCUUUGUAAGUUUUCCAUGGUUGAAUUAAAAUUUGAAUGUCUAGAGACAUUUCUUCAUCGAAAACGAAAUCUUACACAGUGGGAUAGCAUUCUGAAUAAAAAGAGUGAACUCAUCUCAAACAUCAGAAUCAAAACUUACCCUAAUGAUACUAGCUUCAAUAACAAGGCAAUUAUCCACUCAAUGAUUACCUAUUCAAAUUCUAGCUGUAGAUAAAUGUCCUAUAAGCAUACAUCAUUACAUUACAUCAAUGGCAACGCUGAGGGUACUCUAAUUUAAGAACAUCAAUUUCAGAGACAAUUUACCGUACAAUGUUAAGAGAAACAUAAAAGAAGUAAUGCAGCAGCAUCAAACUAGAAUAUUAUCAGGUAGAUCUAUUAUGAGAACCUGACACAAGGCAACACAUAUAGUCAAAUAAUUCUAAAUACAUGGAAGGCAAACAACAUAUAAUUACAUAGAUUAUAAUUUCUACAAUAUAUACUUGACUGUGACAAAUUGACAAUGACCAUAGAGACUCAACUAAGAUCUCCACAAAGCAGCAGAAAGAAGGUGAAGUGAUGAAUUCAGAGUGUUUAUAUCUUGGAUCAAUCUUCCCCUCACAGAUCAGAUUCGAAAAAUAUCUGUUUGAAACCUCUCAUCAUAUAAACUCCAAUGUCCAUACCUUUCAGUGUGGAAGACAGACCUGGGGAUAUAGAAAUUUGGCUUCUUAAUUUCCUUCAAGUGCACCAAACUAGAAGAAGCAUUUGCAAUGUCUCGACUAGUUAAGUUAGCACACCCAGACACAUCCAGGAACUCAAGGCUAGGACAUCCCUGGGAAAUGGAAUUGAGACCCUUGGCUGAUAAUUUGGAGAACCUAAUCUCAAGAUGCUCAAGACCAGGCAUGGAAUUAGCAAUUGCAACAGCCUCAUCGUCUCCAUCUUGUGGGCAAGCAUUUAGAUACUCAUUAGGAACAAUGCCUUGGUGUUGGGAAGGAUCAAGCCAAUUCAUGAGAUUUCUUUUCAGAACCUUAAGGUUGGAACAGUUUCUUCCAAUCAGCACCAAUGACUCAUGGGUUAUCUCAUAACAAUAGCUGAUAUCCAAUUCUCUAAGCUUCUUACAACUCAAAGCUAUCUUAGACAUAGAAUCAUCAGUAACACGAGGACAGCUUCUGAUAGACAACACCUCAAUAUUCGGGCAUCUGAAAUGCAAAUAUAUUUUAAAAAGUGUUAAAUUCUCCAACGUAACGUUGUAUUCACAAUAGAAGGAACAUAUAAACACACAAAUUAAAAUAUUAGAAUUUCAUAAUCAAAGCCCUAAUUUAAAAGAAAAAACAUAGCAUAUAUGAUAUCGAAAUCUUAAAUGCAACCAUAACUAAUUAUGACAUGUUUGAUUCACGUUAAAUGAUCCAAAAUCACGUGAAAAUACCAGCUAAUACGAUUUUAGAUGUAGGUAACAUGAUUAGUUAACAUUGAAUAGUUGAUUCUGGAUUUUAGUUGAUUUAAAAUCAAAUGAUCUUCUGGAUCCUAAUUAUCCUAAGUCGCUUUUACAAAGAAAACAUUAAUCACUUUUCAUUCAAACACUCAAACAAAUGGGUAUGGGAAUUUGGGAGAAAGUUGGAACCUUAGGGCGACGAGGGCGAGAGAUCGAUCGGAACAGUGGCGAAUGCGUAACUGUGUGAGAGAGGAUUGGGUCCAUUGGACGACAGAUUGAAGCAUGGAAUCGAUCUUGGCCUCGAACUCGGAGGUCCACCAGCGAGUUGACUCGAGGGGCGAGUCGAAUUGGGGAUCGAGGUCGAAAACGGAGUGAAGAGAGGGUUCCUUGAAGGCGCUGAACCAUGACUUGCAGACCAACAUGGCGCCGCGCCAUCGAUCCUCAACGCUGAGUCGAGAGAGGAUGUUGAUGAGUAACUCGCGAGUCAACUCGCCCCAAUCUGACUCGAAUUCCUUUGGCUCAGUUUCUGCUUUCAUUCUUCCUUUGGAAUCAGAUUUCACUCAACAUUUCAAUUCUGUGUUUAUUAUAUUACACGCUGUUUCCAUUUCAUACCCUUUUUCUUCUUUCUGAAAUAUGUCUACGUAUAUUUUUUAAAUUCUCUAUAUUUCUUUUUGUUUAAUUCUUGUUAUAUUAUUUAAUUUCUUCAUAUUAUUCUUUUGUGUUUGUCCUUGUAAUAUGCAGAUUGCUUUUUUGGUCCUUAUUGAGUGUUUUUUUAAAGGGACCAAUACAAAAUUUUAAAAAAUAUUAUACGCACUAAAAAAAUAUUUUAUAGAGAUUAAAACAUAAUAACAAGAAAAAAAAUAACAAAGGAAAUUUAACAGGGAUCAAAAGUAAAAAAAAAAGGAAAAAAUAAAAUACAAUAAUAUUUAAGGGAUUAAAAGUAUGUUCAAAUAUAAAUUGUUAAAAUAUAACUUGAAUAAAAAUAUUGGAAGAGAAAAGUAGAUGAAAAAAUAAAACAGAAAAUAUAUAUGCAUUAAUAAUAAUUCCUAAAAAUAAUACUAUUUUUUGCUCAGUCGCAAAUAUAAAUAAAUUAAUAUUUGAAAGGAUAACUCAUGUUUCUAAUAUAAUCGCUAGCAGAUUAUUAUAAAAGAACUUAACUUCAUUACAAAUAGUAAUUUUUUGAAAUGUUAAAUUUUAGGUUCUUAUAUUUAAUUCUUGCUUUAUUCUUAACAUACUUAUCGAAAUUUAGUUUAACUAUUUUGUAUCUAAGGUAGGAUUUUACUAGUACCUUUUAUUUUUUAUUUUUUUUUGUAAGAGAAGGUAGGUUUAUAUUAUCUUAAUUUUCUUUACUCUUUUUAUCUGAUAUAUAUAUAUAUAUAUAUAUUUAUUACCUUUACAUACAUAAUAAAUUACAAUUGUAGUGUUUAUGACAAAAAAAAAGUUUAAAGUAUUCAAUUAAAUUUUUCUAUUUGAAUCUUAUCUUGUAAUGAUUAAAGAAUUAACUUUUUUUAUUGGAAUUUCAAGUUUAUAAUGAAUUUAAACUAAUAAUAUAUUUAGAAAUUAUUAUUAUUUUUUAAAAUGUGUGUAAAUAAAAUUUAAUCACACCCAAUUAAACUAGACUAGAAUGUCUUUCUAUUUAUAGUCUCAUACUAGAUAUAAAUUUUCUCACGUUAGUCUUUUCACUUAAUGUUUAUUAUUUUCAAGAUAUUUGAUUUUUUUUAACUUUCUUGAUUAAAUUUCAUAGUUUUCAACACUUAAAACUAUAAUUACAAAACUUUGGAAUCACCAUCACAUCAUUUACCAAAAUUUAUUCAUCAUAUUCUUCCAUCAAUUAAGAAGAGAUUCCCAACAUAAUAAACUAACUUUCAAUAUAAAAAAAUAAAAUAAAAGUUAUUAUAAAUGUAUCUUUUAUAAUUAUAAUUGAGUAAGCAAUUAUGAUUAUCUGAAUUGCUAUAAUGUGAUUAUAAGAGUUCAAAUAUAUUUUCUUACAAUAACUCCAGUAUGUAUAACUGAGUAAGCAAUUAUAGUUAUGUGAAUUGGUAUAAUGUGAUGAUGAAAAAAUAUGAACAUAAUUAUAUGCAAGUUGAAGACUAACUUUUAACAGUUUACAAUCAACAAUACAAAUUCUAAUAAUAUUAACCAUCUUAGAUAAAAGGAUAACUUUCUUGAUAUUCAAAAAUCACAUUUUUUUCGAGAUUAUUAUAAAUAUGAUUUGUUAUUUUUUUAAUGAAAUGAUUUUUUAAUAUGGAUAUAUGCAGUCUGCCUUUUGUUUUUCCAUGAAAAAAGAGAUGACCCCAAGAAAAAGCAAAAAAACGAGUAAGACUAAAUCCUUGAAGUUGAGGAGCUGAGCUUGCAAGGAAAAAUAAAGCUUUUCCAGUGUGCAUCCUUCUAUCUGAGAAAGCCACAUUGCUGCUAAACGUUGAAGGAUAGUUCGAGACUAAAAAUUGGCUCUAGUGACUCCCUCUGUGGAUAUUUGGCCUUGUACGCGUGAGAUUAAAGAGUCUCCCAACUAGUCUUCAACAUACACUUGGAUUGGAUAUAUACAGUUUUUUCCAAGCAAUUCAUUGGGGUGGAAAUUGGCUAGACAGCAAGAGCAUAUUCUCAUUUGAAAAUAUUGAUUCCUUGUUGAGACCCGACAACUUCAAAGCCAAGGAGAAAUUUUGAAUUAACCAAUAUCCUUGAGGCUAUGUUUUACAUUCAACAAUUCCUUAAUACGAUUCAUUUAAAAGAGGUUAUUACCUAGAAGCCCCAAAUUGAUAAUCGCAGAGUAUACAACGAUUACUGGACAUAUUAUAAACAUUUCUUAUGCUUGUGAGCUUGAAUGUCUCAAAAAGCUAAUAAACUUUAGUCAUUUUAAUAGUAACUUCAGAAAAUAAUGUCCUUGGGAAUUUUAAUGUUUUUCUUGAGUUUUUCCCAUGUAGUCAGGUUAAGAAAUUGAAAACCUCGAUCGGGUGGAGACAGUCAGCAGUAAAACAAGAAAAGGCUCACUUAAACAAGGGUUCCAGGUCUUUGAAUGAGAAGAGUUAAAAAGUCAAGCAUUAGGGACACCAAGUGAUGAAUUGUCCUGGCUCAAGAAAGUAAAGUUAGAAGUUGGUUUUAAAGGUACUAGAAGGCACACUUCAGCAAGGCUAAAUGAUCACCCAAGCAAGUAAUAUCAAAGAAGGCCGCAGCUUGGCAUGACAUGAAGACUCCCUUAACUGAAUGAAGUCAAGAAAUACCCUAAGACUAAAUGCUCGCUUAGGUGAGCAAAGAUGAAGGCAACAACCAUGUGACAUUGGUCAAUGAAAUAACUAUCAUAUAAAUAGGUCAAAAAAUAGAAGUUAACCAUGUUAAAAGUUUUGGAAACUAUAUAAAGAAAGGAAAGUAACAAUCGAAAACAUUAAUCAAAAUUUUCAACAUUGAUUUUGGUCGUUAGAUUAUUAAGAAAAUGAACUUUAAACCUAAUUCAACUUUACAAAACUGAAUUAUAAUUUAGUUAUGUCUUUAGAUGAUGUGAGAUUUUCAACACACUCUCUCACGUCAAGAACAUAAAGCAUGGGAAUAGAAGGGGACCUAAUAGCGGGUGGCAAGAUAUGCCCAACUAAUCUCGUUAGAAUGGGUCCUUAAUAAGCUCUAAUAGUGUUUUAAAAAAGUAAAUUUUAAGUCAAACUCAAUCUUACAAAAUUGACUUGAUAAGAUGAGAUUUGCAUCCAAUAUAUAUUAUAUUUUGGCCAUAUCUCUAGAUGUUGUUAGAUCUCCAACAUAGAUUAAUGAGUGACUAAAUUAUCUAUGGUUAAGGUUGGAUAUAGCCAAACCAAAUUUAGUGUACACUCUAGUUUAAUCAAGUUUGUAUUUAGUAAUUAUUCUUCUUUUCUAUGCCUAAUGUUUAUUUUAGAUUGAUCACACUUAAGAAUUCAUAGAGGUUGAAAAACACUUGAGAAUCCUAUAAAAAAUAACAACAGAUUAGGAUUGCUCCUAGGAAUAGUUCAAAAUUAAUUAGGCCGCUCUUGGCUUCUAAUCAUUCGAGCUGGUCUCUAAGCCUAGAAGACGCUGCAUACAUACUUAUAUGUGAAGAUCCCCAUAUUGAAAUCUACUUGGUCCAAAUGCCAAUUGAAUGUGAAAGCAAGUGAUAGAAGCUCUCCAAAUUGUCAUCCUGGCCAUUGGAUUGAGUCUCUAAAUAAUAAAUUCCACAAGUAUAAGUAAUACCCCCCUUAGCAACUAGUCAAGUUUAUACCUUUCCAUUGAGCCAACCUCAUUUUGCUUCAACUUGAAAACCUAGUUGUAUCUUAUUGCCAUCUUCUCUGGUGGGUGUCCAGGUUUGGUUCUUUUCCAAAGUUAGCGAAACUUAUUUUUCAUAGCAUAGGUUUGGGAGAAAAAAAAAAAUCUGCGAGUUAGACAUUGGAUACCUAGCCUGUGACUCCAAACACAAGGGUUCAGUUGUAAAGUUAAUUAAGAGCAAUGAGUCGUGGGCAUAUUUUAGUGCUGGAAUAUUUUGAUGAAGAUACUGAUGUAGGUGGUGUUGAACCCAGAGGAUCAAUUAUGGAAGGGUUGGUAUUAUUUGUUGUUGACUGAUCAUAUUUUUUUUAUGGUUGCAUUUGUUGUAGGGGUGCAAAUGAAAUGUUUUAAAGAGAUAAUAAGUAGGCUGAUCAUUGGUUGAGAUGUACAAAAACUUCUUCUCACAGAAUUUCACAACCCUUUGGAAGAAAAAUUUCUCCAAUUUUAGAUCAAACAAAAAAUACCCUUUGUGCUUGACUAGAAAAACCAAAAAGAUGCAUUUUCUAGCUAAGGUCCAAUUUCUUCCACUUGGAAGGAAGACUUCCAUCAACAAAAGCAGCUUGUUCUUUGAAUUUAAUCUUUAAAGCCAUAGUUGAGACUUUUGACCAAGAAGAAUGGUUAUCUCUAACAUGUGGAGCAGUGAUGAGAACCUUGGAAGGUUGCUCCAAGAAGUGGAUAAACUAUUUCCAGCUCCAAUGGAAAAAAUCCAUGGUUUAAGGCAUCAGAUUUCUAGCACAUGCUUUGGUUUGGAUUGUAAGAAGUUUCUUGAUGAAUUCUUGGAUGUUUAUUGGUUGGGUUUUGGUGAAGAGGUUUGCGAAAGCUUUAAGGAAGAGAGGUUCAAGAUCUUGAUUGAAUAUUGAUAGUUGUUUGUAGGUGUUCUUUGUGGUGGUUAUGAUCGAAAAUUAAUUUCAAGGGUGGAUGUGUUUUUUGUGAAUUUAGAUGGUGUUUCAAGGUGGUGUUUGGUUGGAGCAUGGAUGGCCAAAGCUAUUGGUGGUUAUGCACAACCUAUAAAAAGAAUAAACUAAGCAAAGAACAGAUGUGAUUAAAGGAAAGAAUAGGAAACAACAAGAUAGAAAUACCUAGGAUGAGGUUAACUUAUCUUGGAUGUUAACCAAGAUCAUAAAAAACUAAGAAUUAGAAAGAAGCUUCUGCCACUCAAACUCAAUGAGAUAAGCAAGGAUUAGCCACUAGACCUGGUUCUCAAGAUAAGAAUCUAAAAAUUUGAAACUCUCAAUUUCUUACAAGCACUCACUACUCUUGCAAACAAAUGACUUUUCUCUCCCAAAGUAAAAGUGUCUACAAAAUGGACUAAACACUUUUAUGUAGGAGGCAUGUAGGAGGGGAAGGAAGUCAAACACGCCUCCUCUUAUACAUGUGACCAAACAGUACGAAGUCUUCUCCUAUAUCUUUCAUAGCUCACCUUAUACACAAUCAAAUAAUUUAUGACAUGAAAGCUAUUAUCUAUUUUUCUUUACAAGUUGUCUAACUAGUAAAACUCUACCUUUACUCUGUUUCCUUUAAGCUUAAGUAUUUCCUUUCUAUCUAUGACAACAUCAAGAAAAAACCAAUAAUGCUCCAAGAUUUCGUUUGGAUGCACGUAGAAAGGGCUAGAAGGACCCGGAAUCCGAUUUGGAUUCACCAUGCUUACUUGAAUAUGAAGAUUUCAAUAGUCAAAUAGAGAAGAAAGAGCUCAAGAAUCAGAGACGAACGAUCUUGUACAGCAGUAGCAGAGCACCCUAGGAAAGGAGCUCUAUUGCCAUUCCAGAAUUAAAUCGAGAAGGUGAAACUUUCAGAGAAUGAAAACUUCUUCUGAAAUGAGAAUAAAGCACCAGUGAAAGAUGAAAGGGAUUUCUCUCAUUGCUAACUAGAUCUUCAAACAGCUACUAACUAAAUGAAUCAACAGCGCAGAGACAUAACAUAAAUGAAUCAAUUAACUGACUAUAGUAUCAGUUAUCACUUCCACCGUAAACAGCUAGUAAAACAGAACAUUCCUCUUAUCCGUUUGAAUAACUUCCAACGGCCCCUAAAAUACGUAGUGUUGAUUUAAAAAGUCAAACCCCUCAAAACUAAAGAAUCUCGAUGCUCCUAUAUUACUUGAGUCAUAGAUCUACGCAAAAUCAAAAGGCACAACACACACGGAGCCUCACUGAAGAAUCAUGAUUGCAUAAAAGUUGUUGAAGCUUCAAGAGCGAAAACAAUUGAUUCUACAAACCAUAAGCAAUUUCAAUUUUGAACAAGCACAUGAACUUAAUUCUGCAGUAGUUACGCACACUAGCACGACAUAAACAUCAAUAAGGCAUUCGAACUUAAACUAUCAGUAUUGCGAAUAGAGAGGACGCCUGUAUUCAUCAAAGUACUGAUCACGAUCAACGAAGAUAAUGGCNNNNNN